Molecule: long non-coding RNA, 472 nt
Organism: Eupeodes corollae
Lineage: Eukaryota; Metazoa; Arthropoda; Insecta; Diptera; Syrphidae
Exons: 2
Source: RefSeq, a predicted model, not a curated record
GAAAACAACACCAUGGAAAAAGAACUUUCCGAACUCAAACUAAAGGCAGUUGCCUACCGUUCCAUUUCAGUCCGGAAUAUUUGAAUUCCGUUGUGUAGUUUUCCUAAACUCGUAAUCUAAAAUAAUUAAUUUUAACUAUGUUUUCAUUAUAAAUACGGAUCCAAUUGACCGUGGCACAAUAUUUCAACGUGAAUAGGUGUGUCAAGUCAGAAAGGUCUGACAAACUCCAUGACCUUGGAUUGAUUAUAAAAUAAGUUUAUUUUUAUUGAUUUUUAUUUCCUGAUUUAUAAAAAAAAUGUUUAUUAAUAUUUUUUCUAUUGUUUGUUUUAAUUAAUUUAAAAAAAUCUUGUAAUAAAUCAGUUUGCGCAGACAAAUGAUUUCAAAAUAAGUCCCAGUCACUGAAUACUUUUACAUUAAUUAUGUGACCCGCGAUCAGUCAUUGAUUUGCAUAAAUAAAUAAAUUCGACUUUGA